CGGAUUACAUUGCACGUGCUGAGGUCAUGAUGACAAUAUACAAGAUCUGAAAAAGAUCCUUCACGUUUUUCUCUUUCAUCUGGGGAAAAAUAAUAGAGAAGCAGUGUACAUAGAGGUUCCAACUGGAAUCCAUCAAAAACAGAAACGGGCACGAGGUGGAGUAGCUAUCUUUUCAUCAAUCGGCCAGGGACAACCACAUAUACGAGCCCAACAUGCUACGAUUAAACUUACAGUAUCCAUCCCCUAAAAGAACUGGGCUGACAAUUCCAAACAAGGACGGGAUACGUGCAAAAUAAGAGAAGCAUAUGAUCAGACUUCCACAUGGUUUCGGCCACGUCCAAACAGCCAGCGCAACCUAUAUAAAGAGGUCCAACCUGCCGCAUAAGCACACAGAAAAGAAAUAGAAGUCAGCCAAACCAUGACUUGAAGACUCCACAAGAAAAUCGAAGUCCCAUGACCUAAUGCAUGACUCAGGACGUGCCAUGGAGAUUAAAGUUGAUUGCUUCACUCAACGUAUGGCGAAGUCAUGCCCAAGCACGCUCGACGCUUCACGAAUCAUGAAGCGAUGCCCAAUUGCUUCGUUCGACAUCCGAUGAAAUCACGCGUAAGCACUUCUGACCUGAAUCAUCAAGUUUGGUAAUUGUUAUUUACAAAUCUUCAUAGGUACUCUAUCAAUUGAUACUACGACGUACAAUAAGUUCAACACCAUAAUGAUAAGAUACGAAACUGGAACAUUCUACUAAAAGUAAUGAGAUGUGGGAUUUAGUCAAUCCUACAACAGAUGAGCUAAUUAGUCUAAGCUUAUUAGUCCUGAUAUUAUAUUGAUGGAUGAGCAUGUCUGUUCUUUAUAUUAUUAAUUUCAAAUUGGUCAAACAAUUUAAGCAAUGGUUACUAAGUAUAUCUGAAAAAAAAUUACAAUUUACGCAUUCGACAACUUUAAGGUCACGGAAUCCACAAAGUAUCGACCAGUGAGCGGUGAAAUUCAAAUAUUUUUUGAAUAUAUACAAAGGUAAAGGAGAAAAAAGAUCUCCAGAAGUUUUUUUCAGAUUAUUAUUUCGAGUUUGCUACCAAGGGCACACUACAAGAAUGGGAAGAAAAAAUAUACAAUGCUCAGGUAUGUUUAUAGUUGUAAUUACGACUUUGAAAUAAACAGUCGUUCUAAUUUAUAUAUUACUAAUCUACAAGUUUGCAUGUGUCAUUGUUUUACUAACACAAACGAAGACUGUGGAAACAAGAAUAACAAAAAAGACCCACAUCCUUCAUAUAUCCGCAAGAUUGAAAUUCUACUACCAGAGUAAGUGUAUAUGCAUAUGCAUGUCUCAAAUUGAACUAAACCUCCUUUGGCAACCAAACUGUCCUUAUUGUGACCUCAAGAAUGGCGCGUAAAUUCAAUGAUAAGUCAAUAAUCUUACAUAGAGGGAUACAUUCUUGAUUAAAUAGGUUUGCGGCUAAAGUCCAAUAAUGCCACAAGAAUAUAUGCAGAUCUGGAUAUACCUGAAACAGAUGAAGUAUGAAACACUACCAUCUAAUAUUUUUGACUCAUGAAUAGUGAUUCACGUUUAAUUCAGUAUUGCAUAACAAUUUUUCUCACCUUUGGCACGCAAAACUAUGCAAUAAAAAGAACAUUUGUGCCUAAUGUUGGGAUUGAGAUGCUCUACUUGAAUGACAAAGUAGAGGAGGUAAAGGCGCAUUUAAUUCUUUUCCUAAACUAAUACACCUUACAUAUAUUGCACAUGAAUUGAUGGAUGAUGAAGUAGACACCGUGUUAACGAAGAAGCAAAACAUGGCCAAUAAAAAGGUGAUUGAUUUUUUCCCCAUGCAUAUUUACAGAUUCUAGAAAUGUGUCAAAUUUUUUUUUAAAAAAUAUUUCUUUUGUGGUCACAAAAUAAUAGUCUCACCUUGCAAAUUGCCAUGCAAAUCAGUCCCUAUGAAAGAGGAACAACAUGACAGUAAUGGGACUACAAUAAACAAAGAUGAGCAUCAAGACAAAAUAUAAUCAUCAUCACGUGAGCUCCACAAUGACAAAAUGAGACUGGGAUCUGUUGUAAUAUCAGAUGACUCAUAGGAUGAAUGCACUUAGACGAGUUUGGCAGAGCGAAAAGAAAAGGGUGUCUGCUGAAACAAGAAUUUUUUUAAAAGUAAAAGCCAAAAAUACAAGUCUUGAAGAUGAAGCUGAAGUACAGGAAGUGCCUUUGGGGAACAAGGAAGGUUUCUUGAAAAUUUACCUUGCUGAAUAGCAGAACCAUAUAUAAGCAAAUCAACGGCCUCUCUGGUGUUCCACACAUACCACUAGCUUUGGUAGUGCCCCAUUCUGACCAAAAAUAGUGUUACCACUUUUAGACUUACGGAAAAAAUAAAUCCACUAAGUAAUCGCAUUAAGAUUAUUUCACGACUACUUGAUCAGGUGGCUAGAAGUUAUUUGAGAAAACUCAACAUGCAAAAUCCUGCUCAACAACCCUAUUUGCGAAUUGAUAAAAUACCAUCCAAGUUGACAUAUUAUCUGACAAGGUAAUCUGAUUACCAAACUAAUGCAGAAUAAUCCAUCAAAUUAAUUUUGCCAUAAGGUUACUUAAAAAAAUCGAGAAUGUUACAAGCCUAUCCAUAGCAGUCUGUAUUGUAUAAAUUAGAAAAAUAUAGUCAUACAUGCACUUCUGUCAGUUUAUUGUUCUUGGUAAUAAAAAACAUCAAUCUCAUAAGGCCUUUUCAUUAAAAAAAUCAUGAAGCCUUAUUUUUAAAGAAAAGGCAUCAUGAAUAAAAUAUUUCUUGCUAACAGCAAAUGCAAAAUACUACGGAGUGCAACACUGCUACGGAUAAACUAGAAGAGAUAUUUUUUGCUAGAAAGGAUGCAUAUCUUCAAUCGGCACUUACAUUUGGUAGAAAUCUGACAGCACCAACAAUAAGAGGCCACGAUCUCAUGGUCGUCCGCAGAAGCCGCUCACACCUUGCUGCUAUUUAUCAAUCCCACGAUCUACUUACACUCAUCUGCCUUCAGUGCCCCCAUACGAACAGCAACAAGCCCAAACUCUGUUCCGCACCUCACAUCCAACAGUCCACCAUCAGCCCGUGACUCCAUCAGUUCACUCACAGCCUCCUCCAUGGGGUGGUCGAGGAUUCACACCACAGAGGACGCGUCGAGCGUGUCUACGCACUCCAUGCGCACGGCCAACUGAGCCAAUAGAUCGACGAAGUGAAAUCAGAAGAAAUGAAUCUACGAGUACGACCGGGAUAGCUUGGGAAUUAGUCUGAUGAUGGCAAGCGGCGACAUCUUCAUCCGCUGGCCGCUAAUCGGAAGAUGUGGCGCAUGCGGAUGGAUAAGGAUCCUGGCAGUGGUGGGGAUCGACUGAGAUGAGAGGAGUGCUUUUUUUCUUAUACGUAGAUGUCUAGAUUUUUUUUGAGGGGAACGUAGAUUUUCUUUUGAGGGGAACGUAGAUGUCUAGAUGAAGGCCUGUACGGUUGUUC
This 3459-nucleotide long non-coding RNA is filed under the name Triticum aestivum (bread wheat). RNAcentral's name for it is "long non-coding RNA (TAES_LNC022012)". The record is from RNAcentral. Lineage: Eukaryota; Viridiplantae; Streptophyta; Magnoliopsida; Poales; Poaceae.